RNAcentral lists this ribosomal RNA (5033 nucleotides) under Candidatus Gottesmanbacteria bacterium. Its description in RNAcentral is "23S ribosomal RNA". The stretch from base 1 to 3466 matches the Rfam family "Bacterial large subunit ribosomal RNA". Lineage: Bacteria; Candidatus Gottesmaniibacteriota. The record is from RNAcentral.
UAAUGGAUGCCUUGGCAGCUUUGGCCUAGGAAGGACGUAUGUAUAUCUACGAUAUCGUCGGGAAAGCGAUACACAGCUUCUGAUCCGGCGGUUUCCGAAUGGGGCAACCCGUCCCGAUUAAAUCGGGACAAUCGUAUGUGAAGGCUUUUGCCGAAAGGUGAGAGUGAUAGCGUGCGGUGGGGCACUACCUGAACUGAAACAUCUAAGUAAGGUAAGGAGAAGAAAUCAAAUGAGAUACCGUCAGUAGCGGCGAGCGAAAGCGGUAUAGCCUAAAUCCGCCGAAAGGCGGACGUUGUAGGGCUUUUAAUAUGGGAGAAAUGCGGAUAAAAGAAUACCUUGGAAUAGGUGACCAAAGAGAGUGAAAGUCUCGUAUUUGAAAUCCAAUUUUCCCCUAGAAAGUUCCUAAGUACCAUGGAGCACGGCAAAACUCCUUGGGAAUCUGGGGGGUCCAUCCUCCAAGGCUAAAUACCAGAGCUGACCGAUAGUGAACUAGUACCGUGAGGGAAAGGUGAAAAGUCCCCCGGAAGGGGAGUGAAAUAGUACCUGAAAUUAUCGACUAACAAACAGUGAAAGCAUCUCGUUUUCACUCGAUGCUUAAAAAUCAAAAAUCAAAAUGCAAAAAUCAAAAGUAAUGUAAAUUUAUAAAAAUAUUUACAAAUUUAUUUUUGACUUUUAACUUUUGAACUUUGAAUUUGAACACCGAGCGAAGGCGAGGUGUGAUCACGUGCCUAUUGAAGAAUGAACCGAUGAGUUGCCGUACGUUUUAUAGUCUAAGCCAGUAAUACUGGUGGAGGCGUAGUGAAAGCAAGCCCGAAAUGGGCUUCCCGAUUUAAUCGGGAUUAAAAGCGUAUGGCGGACCCGAAACCGGUGUGAGCUAAGCCACGACAGGGUGAACCCCGAUGAAAAUCGGGGGGAGGCCCGAACUCGUCGUUGCUGCAAAAACGUGAGAUGAUCGCGGCUUAGAGGUAAUAUGCCAAUCGAACCCGGAGAUAGCUGGUUCUCCCCGAAAUAUAUUUAGGUAUAGCGUCUGGGGUCUCUCUUUCAGGGGUAGAGCACUGAAUGAUUCGCCAAGCGUAAGCGAGGCGAAUCUAUCAAACUCCGAAUACUGAAAGAUAUUCCAGGCAGUCAGUCCUACUCGGCUAAGCGAGUGAGGUCGAAUAGGGAAACAACCCAUACUCUCAAUUAAGGCCCCUAAAUUUUGGCUAAGUUGUAAAUGAGGUCGAAUCGCUUAAACACCCAGGAGGUUGGCUCAGAAGCAGCCACCCUUUAAAGAGUGCGUAACAGCUCACUGGACGAGUGGUUCGGCGCAAAAAAUGAACGGGGAUAAGCCAAAUGCCGAAGUUAGAGAUUCCCGCCUCAUCGGCGGGAGUGGUAGGGGAGCGUUCUUUUUGCGGUGAAGCAUACGCCGUAAGGCGGUGUGGAGCGAAAAGAAGUGCGAAUGUCGGUAUGAGUAGCGAGAUCCCGGUGAGAAACCGGGACGCCGAAAGCCCAAGGUUUCCGUCCCAACGCUCGUCGAGGACGGGUUAGUCGGAUCUAAGACAAGUCCACGUCAAACGUGGGGUAGUUCGAUGUACAAGCCGUAUAACAUUCGGCUACAGAAUUGAGAUAUUACACAGGGGAUGACGGAAAGGGAUGUGUUCUACGGUGGUAUGAUACACCGUCUAAGCUUACCAGGUAGUGAUAGUGGGAAAAUCCAUUAUCAUGAUUAACUGAGGAGCGAUGGAUAGUUCAAAACGAAAGUCGCGGACAAUAGAGAGAGCAUUCAGUUCUCAAGAAAAAUCUCAUGUGGUUUGGACCCUUCGGGGUUUGAACAAUUCUUAAUUUUUCCGUACCGCAAACCGACACAGGUGGGCUGGUAGAGUAUACUAAGGCGAACGGGAGAAAAUGGCUCAAGGAACUCGGCAACAAAAGCUGGGCGUAACCUCUGGGAGAUGCCCUGCCAGGUACCAUCCGGUACCUGGCCGCAGCAAAUGAUGCUAACCAACUGUUUAACUAAAACACAGGUCUCUGCAAAGCCGAAAGGCAACGUAUAGGGGCUGACGCCUGCCCAGUGCACGAAGGUCAAGAGUGGAGGCUGAGAUUAUAUCAAGGUUUUUACUCAAGCCCGUGUGAACGGCAGCAGUAACUAUAACUGUUCUAUGGUAGACCCAAGAAGGGUCCGCUGCCAUAGUGAGGUGUGAACCCUCCGUCAUGUGCUUUCGCCGAAGGCACUAAAACGAAAAUUUGACUAUAUGCUGGGAAGUCUUGUUAAUCUGGAUCUACUAUGGUAAAAUUUUCACAUAGAUGAAAAUUCCAAGUAAAAAAGAUUCCAGUAGAGGCAAUCAGCAGGAAAGACUUAGGAUAGCUAAUUGGAUUGUGGGAUUUGUUGAUGGAGAAGGAUGUUUUUCUGUUUCAAUCUUUAAGAAUCGAACAACGAAAAGUGGAUGGCAGGUAUUGCCAGAAUUUGUUGUAACGCAAGGAGAAAAGAGUAUCAGUGUAUUAGAAGAAAUUAGAAAUUUUUUCGGAUGCGGUAAGCUUUUUGUAAACAGGCGUUACGAUAAUCAUAAAGAAAAUCUUUACCGUUUUUGUGUUCGGGCAAUUAAAGAUUUGAGAGAGAUAAUAAUUCCUUUUUUCGAAGAAAAUCCUUUACGGACUGCAAAGAGAAAAGAUUUUGAAAAAUUUAAAAAUGCAAUUCAACUUAUGAGUAAAAAUGCUCAUCUAUCAAAAGAUGGAUUAGAGCAUCUCAGAGAAAUAAAAAAAUCCUAAGAAUCCUCAGAGACUAUACGUCAAACACCACCUUUGGUGAAGAUAUAGUCCAAGAUAGAUUGUUGUGACAAUCUAAACUGAGCGAAAUUCCUUGUCGGGUAAGUUCCGACCCGCACGAACGGCAGAAUGAGUUAGCAACUGUCUUGAGCCAUUACCCGGCGAAAUUGAAAUGGCUGUGAAGAUGCGGCCUACUUGCACCAGGACAAAAAGACCCCGUGGAGCUUUACUGUAGCUUGACAUUGGGAGGACAUUUUUAACUGUCGAGAAUAGGUGGGACCCCGUCGCAAGGCGGGGAACAGUGGAAUACCACUCUUUGAAAAUGUUGACCCUAACCCCCUUGCCACUCAAAUAACUGGCGGGAGAACAGUGUCUGGCGGGCAGUUUCGCUGGGGAGGUGGCCUCCAAAAGUGUAACGGAGGCGUACAAAGGUUGGCUUAGAUGCAAUGGAAACGCAUCUGGACGUGCAAACGCAUAAGCCAGCUUGACUGCGAGACCUACAAGUCGAGCAGGUGCGAAAGCAGGUGUUAGUGAUCCUCGUUACCGCUAUGGUUGCGGUACGGGCUUAACGAAUAAAAGCUACCCCGGGGAUACAUUCUGUGUCCCGUCCCAAUGGUAUAUACUAACAUUGGGACUUGGAACGGCUAAUAACGGUGGAAUCCUAAUUUGUGGUGGGUUUAGAAAAGUCUUUAUCCCAUACGAGGCACAUAUAGGACAAUACCGUGGGAAGUUAGGAAAUGAAUAAACUAAAAAAAUCAAUUCUUAUUGGGAUGAUUUUAGGAGAUGCCUAUUUACAGCAAACUGGAGAAAAGAAUGCGCGUAUCCGGCUUGAGCAUAGCGAGAAAUAUAGAGAUUAUCUUCUUUGGAAAGGUGAUCAAUUUCCUGAAUAUUUUCAGGGAAAGCCAAAAAGAUACGUACGAUUUAAUCCAGUCUUUAAAAGAACUUAUGCCUAUUUACGAUGGCAGUCAAAUGCAUCUCCUGAAAUCGGAUUACUACAGCGAUUAUUUUAUGCCGAUCAUAAAAAAAUUAUCCCGGCGGAAUUAUCUGAACUUUUGGUUGAUCCAAUUUCACUGGCGGUGUGGUAUCAAGAUGAUGGUUAUUACUAUAAGAGAGACAAAAUGGCUUAUAUAUAUUUACCGAAAUAUACAUUAAAUGAAAUAAAAAUAAUGAUGCAUACGUUACAAGUGAACUUUGGAAUUAAUCCAAGAGUAAAAGUGAAGAAAAGCGGAAAUAUAGUUUUAGUAUUUCCAGUUAUGGAAACAAAGAGAUUAUUUUCUCUUAUUAAACUAUAUAUUAUUCCUAGGAUGAGGUAUAAAAUUUCCUAACCCCGUAUCGACUGAGCAUUAAGUUGCGAGGUCCGCCAGCUGGCGGACAAGAUGCCGUCCCCCGAUUAAAUCGGGGUGAAGAUAUAGUCAACGCCGAUAAGUAAUUAUCGGAAUUCUUAAAUACGUGAACAGGCUGAUCGGAUCCGAGAGUCCAUAUCGACGAUCCGGUUUGGCACCUCGAUGUCGGCUCACCCUAUCCUGGGGCUGGAGAAGGUCCCAAUGGUCCGGCUGUUCGCCGGUUAAAAGGGUACGCGAGCUGGGUUCAGAACGUCGUAAGACAGUAAGAUGACCGUUGCUGUCUAUAAAUCUGACUAAAUGCUGGAAAAGCUGAGUAUGUUAGAGUACUUAAUUUAAGUAACAACCUUUAACUGCAGACAAUCAGCAGGAAAGAUCCCGAUUUUAUCGGGAAAUCCUCAGAGACUAAAUGUCAGACGGAUUUUAAGGAGGUGAUGUAUGUUUUUACAUUACAGCGCUCGAAUUGACGUAAAGUAUAUUUUUGACUGUUAGGUAAUAUCGGGUUAAUAGAGAUCCUACCAGUUUCAGUCCUCGACCCGAAGCGCAAUUAAAAUAAUUAAUCUUUUUUAAUCCGAAGAUAUAGUCCGAACUGCAUAGCGAUAUGCAGAACUUAACAGAAAUGUUAAGUCGAAUGAAAAUUCGUAACAUAAUUGUCGGUCUCUAUCCGGUGCAAGCGUUGGAUAUUUGAGGAGAGCUCACUACAGUACGAGAGGACCUAGUGGGAGGAAUCCCUUGUGUUCCAGUUGUCGAUAUCUUCGGCAGCAAGCUGGAUAGCUACAUUCCUACGGGAUAAGCGCUGAAAGCAUCUUAAGCGCCAAGCCCACUCCAAGAUGAGAUAUCCCUGCCUGCCGUCAGGCAGGCUUUUAGAUCCCUUGUAGAUUACGAGGUUGAUAGGCGGACGGUGUACGCACUGUAAAGUGUUUAGCCCAUCCGUACUAAUUGAUCGAGAGU